RNAcentral lists this long non-coding RNA (5021 nucleotides) under Marmota monax (woodchuck). The record is from RNAcentral. Lineage: Eukaryota; Metazoa; Chordata; Mammalia; Rodentia; Sciuridae.
GCACGCACCUCCUAAUCCCCCAGGGGCCAUCUAGACUGGGAGUGAACCCUCGCGUAGGCCGCGCGGGCCAGCCUGAACCGCAAACUCCGAGAAAGGCGGGCGAAUCCGGGGGAGCUGAACUUGCAGCACCCACGAGGGCAAGUCCACGUGCGCGGCCGCGCCCCCCCACCUCGGGCGACCAAUCAGCGCUCGCCCCUCCGCGAGGCUGCCCCGCCCCGCCGCUCCUUUGCAGCUCUCGGCGUCGGGAUCGCGGCUGACGGCUCCCUGGCGCCGGCAACAUGGCGCGCGGCAGGAUCUCCCGCCUCUCGGUCCGGGACGUGCGCUUCCCCACGUCGCUCGGGGGCCACGGCUCAGACGCCAUGGUAAGCGUGACCGACUGCCCAAGGCGCCGCCGGGACAACACCCAGGCCCGCGAGUCGCGGGCUUUACCUGGCUUCAGUACAGUGGGACCUGGAUGCGCGGGGAAGGUGGACGCUUUUCAUAUCGCUGAGGAAGCAGCCAGAAACUCUUCACCUUUCUGGUUUAUUUUUUCCCCUUGUUUAUCGUAUUUUAUUUGCCCGCGUUUGAAAUGUCUUGGUUUUACUUUUUUUGAUUCACGUUUUCCUGGAAAGGAGAGAGUGCUUAUUAUUCAAUAAGUGCAAAAGAGUUCUAUAGGGUCCCCACCAAGGAAACCCGAGAAAACAGUGCUGACAGCUUCCCCGCGGUGAACUUGAUAGGAUUUGAAGUGACAGAGACCAGGAAGUCCGGUGCUGGGAGUCUGGAGUGGUGAUCCUGCCCCUGCCACAACUUUGCUGUGUACCUUGGAGAAGACCCAAACUUCUCUGUGCCUUUUGGGACUAUGAAACGAAGGGGUCACAGUUGGAAUGAGAAACUAAGCACCGAAAAAUACUCUAGGCACAUAGGAGAACACUCGUGAAAUUACUGUACUUAGAAACUUGGUUAGGAAGGAUUUGUCACUGUAAGGAGUUAUGCAAAAUAUUGAAGGACUUUUUCCCCUUAAUGAGAAUGUCAGAGGGACCCCUCUCCCUAUCCCAGCGCCCCCACCUCCCAGCUGUCUCUAGUGGUGUUCCUAAAUAUAAAGGUUCUGAGCAGGAUUUUGUUUGGGGGAUUUUUCCUCCUUCUGCAGUUCUGGGAUUCCAUCCCUGGGACUUGUGGCAUAUUAGGCAAGCACUCUACCUCUGAGUACAUCCUCAGCCUCUGAGAAGGGUCUUCACAGGGAUUGUGCCCCACUGGAUCCACUUUGCUCCUCUGGUGAGAUGGCCAUACUAGGAAAAAGUUGACUCCAUAUGUAGGAAAUGUAAAAAAACUUACCCCAAAGUGAGAAAUAACCAAAAUUAGGAAAAUGUUUCCUUGUAGGGGUGAAGAGGAAAUGGGGUGAGGAAAGGUACCCAAGGACUCGUUAUUCACACUGUGAUGUUUUACUUUCCAAGAUGGGUAGAUGGCAGAUUGGUGGUCUUUACAUUUUUCUCUGCUCUUUAUGAACCUGAAAUUCUUUGUAAAAGAAUUUUCUAAUAGUCCUCUCAAAACAUGCUAAAUAAUGUUAUUAAAUGCAAAAAAAAAGUAUCCCUUAUUCUGGCAUUAGCAUCUUACUGCUUUUCAAAAUUCCUACAAGUCCUUUCACAAAUGAUAUUAUGAUAAAUGACUUUUUGUAAAUCCAGUUGAUGAUCCUUUGUGGACCUCCAAAUAAAUAUUUGAAAUUUUACUAAUUUGUAAAAGUGCGAACACUUAAUUGAGUGCUACUGCAUUUGCCCCUCUGAAGCUUGACAGCUGUGGGUAAACCCACAUUCUAAGCCUAGGCUUUCUCAUCUAUAAAAUGGGUACAGUGGUGUCUACUUCAUGCAUGUAAAAUAAGAUACUUGAAAAGAGCUGACAGAGAGAAGGUCCUCAAUAAGAAUUGGCUAUAGUUACUAUUUACAUAAGAGGAAACUGAAAGCAGAAAGAACUCUGACCUCGCCCUAAGCUUUGAAUUUGUGAAGUGUUAAGAUAAACUAUUUUAUUAUAGGAGAGUUUAAGAAAUAGCAUUUGUUUCUGGGACUGAGUGGUGUAUGACCCCUAGGUGAGGAAAAAUUAUCUGAUACCUGUAUUGCAAUUUCAUAAACACAUAAGCAUUUCUCCUCAGGAGAUAGAGUGUAUGUUAUGUGCUGACUCUCAAGCGUUUAGUAGAACACGCUGCUUUGCAGUUCUCCACGGUGAUUGCUUCAUUUGCCCUCUGGCCAUGCUGAACUCAGCACUUCAGCUACUUUUCAGCACUUAGCAGAGCAAAACUUCCUGAUGAGAAGUCUGGUAUUUUUAUAAAGGAGUCCUGAAACUGUCUUCAAAAUCUGUUAAAGCAGAAGUUCCUGAUCAUUUCUUUCUGCCCUUGUUGGAAACAUGGAGCACUCAGCCUGCAUGUAUUUACUACUUUCUUGCUUCCCAGCACUCAUCAAGCACCCAGAGAGCCCCUCAGCUGUGAGCUCGCAUCCCAGCUCAGCUGCCCACUGGCACCUCCUUGCAGUAUUUUUCCUCUUAUUUGCUCCUUGUCUGUGAGCUCCCUUAAUCCCUAGUCCUGUCCUCCCAGCAGUUAGAAGAUGUUGCCUACUGCAUCACUGAGAAGACUGAAGACAGUCAUACUCUUGGCCCCAUCUGUGCACACAUGUCUCCAAACCAACCCCUCUCCUAUUUCCCUUUAUUCUUUUUUUUUUAAAAGAGAGAGAGAGAGAGAAUUUUUUAAAUUUUUUAAUAUUAUUUUUUAGUUUUCAGCGGACACAACAUCUUUGUUUGUAUGUGGUGCUGAGGAUUGAACCCGGGCCGCACGCAUGCCAGGCAAGCACGCUACCGCUUGAGCCACAUCCCCAGCCCUCCCUUUAUUCUUUAUCAUGUCCUGCUCCAAAGCUAAUCAUUCUCCUUCCCUUAUUUAUUCUCAAGGGUCCCACUUAUAUCCCUUUGUCCUUCAGUACUCCCUAUUUACUUUGGUUCUCUUCCAUCCCACAUGGACAGAGCUUUCCCUUUAGAAGAGUCUGAGUUUGAUCCUUACACCUUUCUAGCUCCUUUUGGUUUCUUCCUCUCAUCCCCAAACUUCCUGCUCUAGGUCUGUUGCCUUAUCCUUUACAUCUCCUUCCUUCUUAAUCUGAAAUUGACUACUCUUUCCUUCCUUCUCUUGGAAUUGCCUUCAGUUUUUUCUCCUUCCAGUGACCUUUACGCUCCAUGCAUUUCAUGCCAUCUGCUGUCUCUUCCUUGUGCAUCUGUCUAGCUCCCAGCCUCAGCCUUUCUGACUACUCCUUCUUCCUGCACUGGCCCCCUUCUUCCCUCUCCAAGGCUUUCCCAUCUCACUGCACAUUCCCAUUAAGACUCUUCUCUAGCCAGGCUUGAUGGCACCCACUUGUGAUCCCAGUGACUUGGGAGGCCGAGGCAGGAGGAUCAAUUGCAAAUUCAAGACCAGCUUUGGUGACUUAGUGAGACUUUGUCUCAAAAUAAAAGAAUAAAAGGGCUGGGUAUGUAGUUCAGAGAUAAAACACCCCUGGUUCAAUCCCCAGUACCAUAAAAAAAUAAAAAAUAAAAACAAUAGAAAACAACAACAACAAAAUGGGUUAAUUUGUCUUGAAGCUUUACUUCUUUUUCUGCCAGUAGUCUCUGAACUUGCACUGUUAUAUUAUCAUCCCUGCUAUAAACUAUGGCAGUGAAGAUCAGUCCAAUUUUAUGUAAGAGCUUUCUGAAACCUUGGCUUGUUCAAUUUUAAGCUACUUGCUAACAUAACUCUGUUCAGUGAGCUGUGAUUGGAAAUUCUUGGGUUUAAAAUUGAGCUGAGACCUGGAGACAUUGCACAGUGGUAGAGCACUUUUGUAGCAUGUAUGAAGCCCUGGUUUUGAUCACCAGCACCACAAAUGACAAUAACGGUAAUGACAAUGAUAUUAAUAUGAAAUUGAGCAGAUGACCUUUUUUUUUUUCCUUGUACCAGGCAUUGAACCCAAGGGCACACAACCACUGAGCCAUGUCUCCAGCCCUUUAUUUAACUUUUUUUUUUUUUUUGAGACAGGGUCUCACUAAGUUACUCAGAGCCUUGCCAAGUUGCUGAGGCUGACCUACAAUCUUUCUGCCUCAGCCUCCCGAGCCACUGAGAUUACAGGCAUGCAUCACCACACCCAGCUGAACAUCAGUUUUUUUGAUAUCAUUGCAAAUUGGCAUUAAAAUAUGUGUACAUCUGGGACUAGAGGUGUAGCUCAGUGGUACAGGGUAUGCUUUAGCAUGCUCCAGGACCUGAAUUCUAUCCCCAGCACCAAAGGAAAAAAAUAUACAUUGUAUUUGUUGAACGGGUGUGAACCAUUCAGGACUUUCCUUUGGUCCAUUCAGAUCUCCUGUAUUUUUGGGGGGGUGUGCCAACUCUUCCAUCAGAUUGGAUCUCUUCUUGGCAUGUCCCUUAUUGCAUUUUCUGUUUCAGGUGUCAUUGUCAUGGUUAUUUCUGGGUUUCUUACAUUUGCAUUUGGUGGGUAUGGGUCACCUUUCCUUCAGCAUACAGACCCUGACUACUCGGCUGCCUAUGUUGUCCUGGAGACUGAUGCAGGAGAUGGACUCAAGGGAUAUGGAAUUACCUUCACUCUGGGAAAAGGCACUGAAGUUGGUGAGUUGAUGAUUCUCUUGAGAUUCUAGAAUGCUUCGUUUUUCACUUAGAUUCCAGUUCUGACCUAUUUUUUUUUUUCUGUAUUUACACUUCUCAAAGGGAUUAAAAACAAUACUUAUUUUGCUGGGAGAAAUUAAAAGGUGCAGCAUUUGGCCUCUCCUCUUACAGUAAUCUAUAGACUGUGGGAAAACCCUUGACUCUGGAUCUGUUUCUCUGUGUUGAAUGGUGACUACCAGAAUGCUAUUCAGCUGCUUUUAAGUCUCGGCUUCUGUAGGUCUUUGAGGACCUGUACUAGGAAAGUGACCAAGGGUGGUGGAGGGAGCAGAUAUAAGCUCACACAGCAAGGUUUAUUGUGGUGUGCACUGUGAAUCUACCUAGUUUUCAAAAUAUUUUACACAAAGUUACUUUGAGGGGCCAAUUCUUUGUG